This 766-nucleotide ribosomal RNA is filed under the name Allapsa ocior. RNAcentral describes it as "eukaryotic LSU rRNA". The stretch from base 538 to 766 matches the Rfam family "Eukaryotic large subunit ribosomal RNA", at positions 1 to 226 of the family's 3401-position model. Lineage: Eukaryota; Cercozoa; Glissomonadida; Allapsidae. The record is from RNAcentral.
CAAUCUUUGACGCAAUGGCGCUCUCGGGAUAUACCUGGGAGCACGCCUCUCUCAGAAUCGAUCUCACUCUCACCUACAUUUUCUUAGGAGAAUGUGCGGUGGUGGUUGGGAGUCAAGCGCGUGCAACUACGCGUUUGUCUCUUUAAAUGAGUGGAGCUGUAGUGGCGCCCUGUGCGCAGCUGCCCGCCUCCGUCGUCUCUUACGUGGCUAGUUUCACAGCAAUGUGGAUUUAACAAUACGUAAUGGGAUGGCGCUGGUGGCGCUGCGCGUUAUACAGCGUGUGCUAGCCCUUAUGCAACUACAGUGUAUAGUCAAUAAGCGUGGUUCUGUCAAUUACCAUCUUAGCUUGCUUUAACAUAUAGCAAUCAACUCGCUAUCAUUGCCUAGCAAUGAGCGACAAUCGGAGCCGAUUUCUGAUCGGUCCCUUCCGACUGGCGUUAUAACAGAGGUUGAUUGUGUUUUAGCAUAGCGAUGUAUGUAUGGUUUACCAGAACGUGGCUGUGUGGUGCUGGCGUUUGCCGGCCCAGUCGUUUGAUUUGAUCUGAGAUGAAGCGAGAUUACCCCCUGAAUUUAAGCAUAUUAAUAAGGGGAGGAAAAGAAACUAACAAGGAUUCCCCUAGUAACGGCGAGUGAAGCGGGAAUAGCUCAGACUGAGAAUCGAGUGUGCAUGCGCGCCCUCGAGUUGUAUAGUGUCGACNAUUGUUCAGCGUGUGGUCCGGGCCUAAGUCCUUUGGAACAGGUAUCAGAGAGGGUGAGAAUCCCGUCU